This 6146-nucleotide long non-coding RNA is filed under the name Salmo salar (Atlantic salmon). RNAcentral's name for it is "lncRNA (ENSSSAG00000119160.1)". The record is from RNAcentral. Lineage: Eukaryota; Metazoa; Chordata; Actinopteri; Salmoniformes; Salmonidae.
GUACUCAAAAAUCAGUAAUUAUUAUUAUAAUUUUUUUAAUGGAUGGAACUACAGUACAUUAAAAAAGUUAACAUACUCUAGGACCCAAAGUAACCCAUUCAUAUAUACACAAACAGAAUUCCAGUAGUUUGUUCAUGACAAUAUAGCCUAGCAGACUACCUGCCGAUGAUUCAGUGCUGGCUGACUUGUUUUGCUAAUUGGGUUUCUGUAGGUGCAAUGCGGUUAGACAUGAAAUAACAAAAGCCAAUUUCCCCUAGUGACCGUUCAUAUGAGGAUUAUUUAUCAGUUAUUAUAGAGUAAUAAUGAUUAGGCCUAUAUCACCUCUUACUGCUGAGUGCACCAAGCAGAGAGGCAGGCAGAGAGGCAGGCUGAGAGGCAGGCAGGCAGAGGCAGGCUCCCUCCUGCUAGGCUAUCUGUACAGGAAGCCAGCCACACAGGCAUCAAGGCAAGAAGGCAGGUAUACAGGCAGGCAGGCAGCCUCCUUGGAGACAGUAUUCUUGGAGACACUGCCCUCUGGGAUCAGAGGGCAGUGUACUGUUCUUGUGUUGUAUGAAUCUUUCAAAACCAAACUAUAGGUAUAUCAAUUAGUAACAGUUGUUAAUGGGGAUGAUGUCUCCUUUAGUUUUAUGGAGAUGCAGCUCUCUUUGGUACAGUGAGCCUAAUAGGGAAACAAUGAUUCAUCAAAGUAAACAGAAAGGAACAGACUUAAUUAAAAGCGGUUCAAAGAAUAACACCAUUUGUUCCCUCUUUUCUGAAUCACUUUUCUUCUUCAUUUCUGCCUAGUUUUGCAAUUACAAGCUUGUGAAUUCUUCUAAAAACUGUUUUAACACUUCAUUGGUUGAACACUGUUUUAAAGCUGGAAUUCGUACUUGGUGAAACGGCCAUGUCCGUUUGCGAUAUUACAACAACAAAGAAGUUACUUCAAACUACGAACACAGUUUUUUUCCCCCGCUGACAUCGUUGCACAUCAUUGCACGUGCGAUAGAACACAGAGUAUGUACUGGAAUAUUGUUUUACCACGAUACUGGAUGCUCCUCUACUCUGUUUCAUCAACAGAACAAAAAUCAUGACAAAUGCACUGAGGGCUAACAAUGGCGCUGUUUCACCUUAUGCGGAUUUCAUCUUUAACACUGAGUUGGUUGAACAGUUCUCUAACGCUGCUCUGUUGGGGAUCCCCUGCAAGUUUGACAUUCACAAGUUUGACAUUCACUUCUUUGGAGAAGUGCUGAGUGCAGGAACUAUUCCUGGCUGUAACAAUGAAGCAUCCAUCUUCACAGGCAGGUACUGUAUUAUUUAUUCCUGUAACCCUGCCCCCCCCCAAAAAUGUACUUCAUAACCUUCCCAAUGCACCUUUGAACAGAAGCGUAAAAAGCCUUAGCAUAAACCCCGGCGCAGACUUUGUGCUAGCAAUUUUGCGAGACCUGCUUAUCUUGCAAUAUUCAAUAUCCAUAGCGGAAACGUAUUGCAAUAGUAAUUGAGUCUGGAAUGGAAGUCCUUUCUCCUAGGAAGCUUGCCAUGUCAGGGGCUAAGUCACAUAUCUUCAUUAUAGCUUAUAGGAUAUUCGCUGAAGAAUACAAUAGAGCAACACUUGGAUGAGCUGGAAUUUAGCAUUUUCUGUUUUAUUGCUGCUGUAUUAUGCAAAACUCUCCUUUCUCAAGAGCCCCAGAACCUUAAAAGUGCAUCCCAAAUGGCACCCUAAUCCCUACGCAAUGCACUACUUUUGACCAGGGACCAGGGAAUAGGGUUGCAUUUGGGAGCGUGCAUAUUGUAAGCCAUGGGGAUAUUCUAAGAAGAUGAUUCAAUGACAAGAUGAUUCAAUGAAUUUCCUGUUCCCAUUCUUCUUCCAUUUGUCUGAACACAUCCAGGUCUCCGUCCCAAAUGGCAGCCUAUUUCCUGUACAUUCUGUAGUGCACAACUUUUGACUAGAGCUCUAUGGGUGCUGUUUGGGACGCACCCAAGACUUAGCCUAUUGUCUAACAAGGGAGAUAAUCUACACAACUCAGACUACGGUACCAUGGGCUUCCAAGUCAAGUCAUUCAUUAAUUAAUGUACUGUAUCCUCUUUUACUGGAAUUAGCUACAACUCAAAGAGAGUGAGGUAGCUACAUUGUUCAAAAGAAAUUCAAAGUGUUUUCAUCGUUGAUGUCUUUAGGUGAGUACAGUCGCAUGCCACAUUCAUCCAUGGAGAAUGCUAGCAUGUAUUUGUAUUUUAUGCCAUUUUGUCGACAGUAGGAGAAGAGAUGGAAAAGUCACCAGCUUUCGGCUUUGCCAUUGUUCAAGCUUCACAGAGCAGUCGGGAUGAGAGGAAUUUAUGUUGAUGCCUUCAGGGCCAUAUCAAAGUAUGGCUUAUUGUCACAAUAAAAAAGAAUGUUCUCUGCACACCAAGGCCAGGAGGAAAGCUGGGAUACAAUUGUAAGAGAACACGAUGGGUGUCUUUUGAACUGUUAUUUGAUUUCUAAUCAUAAAAAUACAUUGAACGGGAAGUGCGGCUGGUUGCAAGGCUGACUUCCUGAUUAUUGCCUUUCAAGCACUUGGUGCUUCUAUAUAGCUGUCUAGGCCAAGCUAUGGCUUCAGUGACCCUGGAAUAACUCUUUUAGAAAAGUUGUUAAUCUCCUCGAGAGGUGUCAGUGGCCCUGGUGAAGUCACGGCCGGGUCCCAAGUGGCACCCUAUUCCCUAUUUAGCACCCUAUUCCCCCAUAGGGCCCUGGUCAAAAGUAGCCUAGUGCACUAAAGAAGAAAUUGGGUGCCAUUUGGGGCACAUAUUUUGUAAGUGUUUUCCUCUCUGAUCAAUAGGAUUUGAUAUGUUGUCGGUGAGGACGGCAGUUGGAUAGAUGUCUCAAUGGCUUCAUUGUCUUUACCUCAAUCAGACAGAGCACUCAAGCUACUGCACUCAAACACACGCUGAGUCACUGGCUUUGAAGUUGGACUUGAUUAGAGAAUUGAAGGAAAAAUCUGUUUGGAGAAAGGUUAGCAAUUGUCCCAUACUUUGAUUAGGAAGACAAAUGGAAAGAAAUACUUUCAACUUGCAAUCAAAUGGCCAAAAGUAAGUGCUCUUUGCCAGCUCGUAGAUCAGGUGAUGUAUGAUCUUGAGAUUGGCUUGUAUUGUCUUGUAUCCCAACCAAGAAUAAUGCGCAAUUAGAGUAAAACGAUUUCCCAGAGGCACAAUGUUUUUUUUGCAAAGUGUGCUGGCUCAGUUCUGCAGGAACGUUUCUGGGGUUGUUCGAAUUGCAUUAAACCCACAUAGUGCUGCCUGGCGCUACUCAAGGAUUCAGAACUGCCCUUCAGCAGCCUCGGGCACUGCAUUGCUCUAUUCUAGCUUGAUGAAAAUAGAAAACACAAAAUCCUCCAUAAGCUUCUAAAUCUCGUUAACACACACUAUUGAAGUGACAACAUUUGCCCCUAUAUCUUGGUUUCCUGAACUCAGAUGUUGUGUUGAAUAAUCAGAUUUUUCGACUGGGUAUACAAGUAAACUCUUAAUUGGGAAAAAAGAGUUUGGCUGAUUUAAUUAAUGACUGUGCAAAUGUAUCAAAUGUGUAGCUUGAUACAUACCCACACCUAAUCGAAUGGCAUUUUCAUGUGAUAAAACAACAGACAUGAAUUAUCUUCAACAUAAACUUGACCACAUUUAGUCACCGAUACAGUAUUUUGGGAUGUUAAUACUUUGAGCAUACACUACCGUUCAAAAGUUUGGGGUCACUUAGAAUUUCCUUGUUUUUGAAAGAAAAGCAUUUUUUUUUGUCCAUUAAAAUAACAUCAAACUGAUCAGAAAUACAGUGCAGAUAUUGUUAAUGUUGUAAAUGACUAUUGUAGCUGGAAACGGCAUAUUUUUUAUGGAAUAUCUACAUAGGCGUACAGAGGCCCAUUAUCAGCAACCAUCACUCCUGUGUUCCAAUGGCACGUUGUGUUAGCUAAUCCAAGUUUCUCAUUUCAAAAGGCUAAUUGAUCAUUAGAAAACUUUUUUGUAAUUAUGUUCGCACAGCUGAAAACUGUCGUUCUGAUAAAGAAGCAAUACAACUGGCCUUCUUUAGACUAGUUGAAUAUCUGGAGCAUCAGCAUUUGUGGCUUUGACUACAGGCUCAAAAUGGCCGGAAAAAAUUACUUUCUUCUGAAACUCGUCAGUCUAUUCUUGUUCUGAGAAAUGAUGGCUAUUCCAUGCGAGAAAUUGCCAAGAAACUAAAGAUCUCGUACAGCACUGUGUACUACUCCCUUCACAGAACAGUGCAAACUGUCUCUAACCAGAAUAGAAAGAGGAGUGGGAGGCCCUGGUGCACAACUGAGCAACAUAAACAGUGAUGAGGCUGGUGUUUUGCUGGUACUAUUUAAUGAAGCUACCAGUUGAGGACUUGUGAGACGUCUGUUUCUCAAACUAGACACUCUAAUGUUACAUAAGUAUUCAGACCCUUUGUUAUGAGACUCGAAAUUGAGCUCUGGUCCAUCCUGUUUCCACUGAUCAUCCUUGAUAUGUUUCUACAACUUGAUUGGAGUCCAUCUGUGAUAAAUUCAAUUGAUUGGACAUGAUUUGGAAAGGCACACACCUGUCUAUAGAUGACAGUGCUUUUCAGAGCAAAAACCAAGCCAUGAGGUCGAAGGAAUUGUCCAUAGAGUUCUGAGACAGGAUUGUGUCGAGGCACAGAUCUGGGAAAGGGUACCAAAACAUUUCUGCAGCAUUGAAGGUCCCCAAGAACACAGUGGCCUCCAUCAUUCUUAAAUGGAACAAGUUUGGAACCACCAAGACUCUUCCUAGAGCUAGUCGCCCGGUCAAACUGAGCAAAAGGGGGAGAAGGGCUUUGGUCAGGGAGGUAAACAAGUACCCGAUGGUCACUCUGACAGUGCCCCAGAGUUGCUCUGUGGAGAUGGGAGAACCUUCCAGAAGGACAAUCAUCUCUGCAGCACUCCACCAAUCAGGCUUUUAUGGUAGAGUGGCCAGACGGAAGCCCCUCCUCAGUAAAAGGCACAUGACAGCUCGCUUGGAGUUUGCCCAAUAAAAGCCCCUAAAGGACUCUCAGACCAUGAGAAACAAGAUUCUCUCGUCUGAUGAAACCAAGAUUGAACUCUUUGGCCUGAAUGCCAAGCGUCACGUCUGGAUUAAACCUGACACCAUCCCUACGGUGAAGCAUGAUGGUGGCAGCAUCAUGUUGUGGGGAUAUCUUUCAGUGGCAGGGUCUGGGAGACUAGUCAGGAUCGUGGGAAAGUUGAACUGAGCAAAGUACAGAGAGAUCAUUGAUGAAGCACUCAGGACCUUAGACUGGGGUGAAGGUUCACCUUCCAACAGGACAACGACCCUAAGCACACAGCCAAAACAAUGCAGGAGUGGCUUUGGGACAAGCCUCUAAACGUCCUUGAGUGGCCCAGCCAAAGCCCGGACUUGAACCCGAGACCUGAAAAUAGCUGUGCAGCAACUCUCCCCAUCCAACCUGACAGAGCUUGAGAGGAUUUGUAGAGAAGAAUGGGAUAAACUCCCCAAAUACAGGUGUGCCUAGCUUGUAGCGUCAUACCCAAGACUCAAGGUUGUAAUCACUGCCAAAGGUGCUUCAACAAAGUACUGAGUAAAGGAUCUGAAUACUUAUGUAAAUGUGAUAUUUCAGAAUUUUUUUUUUAUACAUUUGCAAAAAUUGAUAAAAACCUGUUUUUACUUUGUCAUUAUGAGAUUUUAUGUAGACUGAUGAGGGAAAUAAAGCUGUAGAAUAAGGCUGUAAUGUGGCUGAAAUAGCCAAUCCACUAAUUUGAAGGGGUGUCCACAUACUUUUGCGUAUAUAGUGUAUAUACUAUAUGGGCAAUACAAAAAUAAGUGAUGUAAUUAUUUUGUCUCUUCGUAACAAUAUCUGCAGAGCUGAGAUGGUUGUAGGCCCCAUAUAAAUGUUGUCUUGAAAUUAGAUGACCAUCAUAGGCAUUUCCAAUUCCAUAGAAAAUAUUGGCCCUGGUUUAGAAACGGAAAAAGUCCUGUUUCAAAUGAAGUAUUCUUCUUUCUAUUCGUCCUUGUCCAAAAUCUCUAGUUGAACCUGCUCGCUUUGAGAGUCCCUGCCAUACUUGUCGACAGAAUCACCACACUCGGCCUCAUUGGUGUGGUAAGUGCCCUUAUGCUUGACAAUGUAGCGCAGUACCAGCAACGCCAGGAGCAGCGCCAGGAGCAGCGCAAAAAUUCCUCCU